UUGAGUAUGUUGAUUAAGUGGCUCGAGUUAGAUUCUUAAGUAGUAUUUGGACUUAUGAUUCGCAUGACAUAGAAAAAUGACAUGGCCAAUUUAGUGGGAGCUAUGUUGUGACAUACAUAUCAUACUAAUAUGUGCUAUAUGAUGACUGAUAUAGGGAGUGACAAAAUAAUUCCCUACUUUAUCAUUGUGUAAAACCUAUUGACUCUUGUGUCCUCCUUGUAUGAUACCUUUCGACUUGGAGCUAUCACAUGAAGUCAAGAUUUGAUGUUGCUACUUUAAUAUAUUUCCAAGGGUCACGACCUAUACGGUCUAAAUGAGCAAGUUAGGAAAGCAGUCAAGUUGAGAUGGAUUGUUAUGAGUAUCUAAGGAAGAAUCUUUCUGACAUCAUCACAUGAGCCUGAGCAGUUAUAUUUUGUAUAUAAUCAAGUAAUAUAAUUAUACCAUAGAGGGACAUUGUAUGCUAAC
RNAcentral lists this long non-coding RNA (465 nucleotides) under Carica papaya (papaya). RNAcentral's name for it is "long non-coding RNA (CPAP_LNC003936)". The record is from RNAcentral. Lineage: Eukaryota; Viridiplantae; Streptophyta; Magnoliopsida; Brassicales; Caricaceae.